CAGAGUGAAGCUAAAUAGUUCAGCAUCUCAUUUACACCGUGAAGAAGCCUGUGCAAAUCGGGCCACCCUGA
Molecule: transfer RNA, 71 nt
Filed under: Horadandia atukorali (golden rasbora)
Lineage: Eukaryota; Metazoa; Chordata; Actinopteri; Cypriniformes; Danionidae
Description: tRNA-Val
Rfam family: tRNA
About the family: Transfer RNA (tRNA) molecules are approximately 80 nucleotides in length.
Source: RNAcentral